CCUACGGGAGGCAGCAGUGGGGAAUAUUGGACAAUGGGGGCAACCCUGAUCCAGCCAUGCCGCGUGUGUGAAGAAGGCCCUCGGGUUGUAAAGCACUUUCAGUGAGGAAGAACGCCUGGUGGUUAAUACCCAUCAGGAAAGACAUCACUCACAGAAGAAGCACCGGCUAACUCCGUGCCAGCAGCCGCGGUAAUACGGAGGGGGCGAGCGUUAAUCGGAAUUACUGGGCGUAAAGCGCGCGUAGGUGGCUUGAUAAGCCGGUUGUGAAAGCCCCGGGCUCAACCUGGGAACGGCAUCCGGAACUGUCAAGCUAGAGUGCAGGAGAGGAAGGUAGAAUUCCCGGUGUAGCGGUGAAAUGCGUAGAGAUCGGGAGGAAUACCAGUGGCGAAGGCGGCCUUCUGGACUGACACUGACACUGAGGUGCGAAAGCGUGGGUAGCAAACAGGAUUAGAUACCCCUGUAGUC
RNAcentral lists this ribosomal RNA (465 nucleotides) under Vreelandella stevensii. RNAcentral's name for it is "partial 16S ribosomal RNA". It matches the Rfam family "Bacterial small subunit ribosomal RNA", at positions 338 to 795 of the family's 1533-position model. Lineage: Bacteria; Pseudomonadati; Pseudomonadota; Gammaproteobacteria; Oceanospirillales; Halomonadaceae. The record is from RNAcentral.